RNAcentral lists this long non-coding RNA (384 nucleotides) under Homo sapiens (human). RNAcentral's name for it is "non-protein coding lnc-PDCD1-1:23". Lineage: Eukaryota; Metazoa; Chordata; Mammalia; Primates; Hominidae. The record is from RNAcentral.
CCUUACCCUCUCCACCUGAAGCAGAACAUGAGUAAAAGCCUCACUCUUAAGAAUCCUGGAAGAGUAGCAUACGAUUCAGGCGGGAUAAAGAUGUUUUGGGAGAAAAAAAUCGAGCAUCACGCAAGACACCUGCAGAACGAGGACAUCAGGGUUCGCAGAAGCGCUCUGAACAAGCUCCGCGUGGGAUGGGCUGAGCAGCUGGAGGGGAGGAACAAGAUGCUGCAGGGCCCAGGGAGAUGCCCAGACAGGGUCCCGGAGGCCACUGAGUCCCUCCACACCAAGGACAAGAAGGCGGCCUGAGGGCCCACGAGCUCCAGACUCUGCAUGAGCUUCCGGAGGGUCAUGGAGAAGGAACACCACGCGUGGGGUCCAAGCAUCCACGCC